GGUGAACGCUAGCGGCAGGCCUAACACAUGCAAGUCGAGGGGUAACAUAGAAAAGCUUGCUUUUCUGAUGACGACCGGCGCACGGGUGCGUAACGCGUAUACAACCUACCUUUUAGCGGGGAAUAGCCCAGGGAAACUUUGAUUAAUGCCCCAUAGUAUAUAGACUUCUCCUGAAGUUUAUAUUAAACAUUUAUGGCUAUUAGAUGGGUAUGCGUCCUAUUAGUUAGUUGGUAAGGUAACGGCUUACCAAGGCAGCGAUAGGUAGGGGUCCUGAGAGGGAGAUCCCCACACUGGUACUGAGACACGGACCAGACUCCUACGGGAGGCAGCAGUGAGGAAUAUUGGACAAUGGGCGAGAGCCUGAUCCAGCCAUGCCGCGUGCAGGAAGACUGCCCUAUGGGUUGUAAACUGCUUUUACAGAGGAAGAACCACCCCCACGUGUGGGGGUUUGACGGUACUCUGCGAAUAAGGAUCGGCUAACUCCGUG
Molecule: ribosomal RNA, 487 nt
Filed under: uncultured bacterium
Lineage: Bacteria
Description: bacterial SSU rRNA
Rfam family: Bacterial small subunit ribosomal RNA
Source: RNAcentral